RNAcentral lists this long non-coding RNA (1033 nucleotides) under Heterocephalus glaber (naked mole-rat). RNAcentral's name for it is "lncRNA (ENSHGLG00100047118.1)". Lineage: Eukaryota; Metazoa; Chordata; Mammalia; Rodentia; Bathyergidae. The record is from RNAcentral.
GUGGGGUCAUGAGGGGUGAUGAAGUGAACAGGCAUCCAGGAGCAGUGGGGACACUGUCCCUUUUAGAACAGAAAGCUGUCCCUGCUCUGGCUCGUGGGUCUGGCUUUUGAAGCUCAUUCAUCUGGCAGCUGGCAGAGUAGAUGGGAGGCUGUGUGUGAUGUCACAGAGCUGGGAACCAGGGAAUGUUGGGGACAGAGGAGCCUGGACUGGACCAUAAAUGUCAGAAGGAGGUGGGAUCUCUCAUGACCUUCUCCUCAGUGGCCCUUCCCUCUGUCCCCCAUGUCUGUCAGGUUGGCUGGGGUGGUUUUACUUCAUGUGUCUCUCAUCCUUCUUGGAUUAUCAGGGCAGCUAGGCCAUGUUCUUCUCAGGAGGGUGCCAGAGGCAAGAGAGGGAGCCUCACCAGGAAAAUCAUGUCUGCUGGAGUCUCAUGUGUUAAGUUUCUAUUGGCCAAGCAAUGCAUGAUGGAGCCCAGAGGAAUGAAUAUACGCUUCACCCAAGAAGAUAUGGCAGAGAAGAUUUGGGGCCAAUACUUUGCUAUGCCACAGGUUGUGCCAUGUAGCUCCAUCUCCUCCAGGAAAGGGAUAUUGGUGUAUUACCAGUGGCUGCUGCCAUCUUCCUUCUGUUCUGGUCUCUGUGCUACCACGGAAGAAAUCUGCCUGAGACUUCUGAGAGCUGCACAGACGUUUCCAUGUGAUUGGAUUGAGCCCACCCAGACAAGUGGGGGAUUAUCUCUCUGUUAGCUUUUUGUUGUUGGGAUGAAAUAAAUACCUGAAAUAUACAACUUAAGGGAGGAAAGGUUUAUUUUGGCUCAGAGUUUCAGAGUUUUCAGUCCUUCGGUUGGCCACCUCUAAGGCAGAAAGAAACAUCAUGGCAGAAGGACACAGUGGAGGAAAGCUGCUCUAUCCAUGGUGCUCAGGAAGCGGAGAAACAGAAAGAGCCAGAGAGAGGAAGGGGCUGGGGACAAGAACAUACCUUCCAGGUUACACUCCCAGUGACCUACUUCCUCCAACCACCCUCUACCUCAUAGCAGUGC